AUUUUUUUCUAUCACAUGUUGUGUUGAAUGUGAUUUUUAUACACCUUUAAAUCUUCAACAUUUUCUUGUUUUCUACUUCAUUUGUUAAACGCAUCAUUACUUAAUGCACUUCUCUAUUGUUAUGGUAAUACUAUAUAUUAAAUAGUCGUCACUAAUCUGGAUAUUUCUCUGCAGAGACAGACUUGAGAAUGGCGGCUAAAGCAGUGUCUGGACUGGUUCUUUUGAUUGCUGUAACUGUAGUCUGUCAAGGUAUUUAUUGAACUUCAAAACUAACUAGACAAAUUUAAAAAUAAUAAUUUUCGGUGAUUAAAUUGGUUAAAAAAAUUGUAAAAUACCGAAAUAAAUUUCGCGUUUCAUUUGAGCAUUUCGAAAUAAGGUACUUUUCCUUAAGUUGCUCACUCAUAGAGUCAUUGUGACACUCAUAACGUUGUUAAAACUUACUAGAUUGUAAAUAUAGAAAAUUUUACAUUUUUUAAACACCAUACACAUAUUCAUAGAAUAAAAUGCUUUUCUCUGUUGCGUCAUGUUUUGAAUCAAUUAAAUGUUUAGAAUCUGCAGUCAAGCAGUAUGCACGCACGAUCUGAUUGUUCAAAUUUACAUUUCAAACUUAUACCCUUGAAAACACUGAAGUAACAUAAGCAUUGCUAUAUGAAAAUUCCACAGAAGCGCAUCAUGCUACAUUAGGGAACGACCAUUUUGUUUUCUAGUUGGGAUGGUGGUUGCAGAAUGAAAAUUAAUCCUCAGAAGAAAAAAGACAUGCAUAGCAACAUGUGAAAAAUAAAAAAUCUGUUCAUAAGAUGGUAUUUUUAUCGACAGUCGAAAUUUGAACUCAGCUAUACAUAUGUUACAGUUUUACAAUUUUUCAAAUUAUUGUAAUGACCUAUAUUAUUGCAUGUGUUUCUCCUGAUUACUUUUUACACCAAAAACGAGAGACAUAUUUGCCACUGGAAGUUAAGCAUACACCAAUCAACCAAUCAGUCGUUUGUUUUUAAAUACCCGUAUAUCAAACUGAGAAGUACAUGUUGUGAAUUUAUUAUCGUGUUUUUUGGCUCAUUUUGACAUUUUGUAAUUAUUAACUCGAACAGAUCUUAUCCAUGUAAAUAUUGUUGGUUUGAAAUUCAGUAACAAAUUUCCUUCAAAGAACUUGAAGGCUAAAAUACACGUUUCGAUGUUUUUUUUUUCUAUAUAAAUAAUUCAUAUUUGAUAUUUUACAACGAUUCACACAAUUUGUAAGGACACUCACCAUCUUGAACAUGAAGAUAUUUUUUUGCAGAGCCCAAAUGAGGUGCCAUAAUAACAUACCUGCCAACUUUUGAAAAUGGUCAUGGGGGUUUUUGUGCGCGGCACCAUUUUUGAGGGUAGAAUUUUUCGCGGCAUUUUUUCGUGUGAUGAUUUUGCUCCUUAAAGUGGCUGACGUACUUCUUUUUUGGGGGGUGAUAGUUGAAGAUGCUAUUAUAACCUAUCUUUUUUUAAUUGUUUGAUUGUUGUAUUCUUUUUUGUUGAGAUAAACACCAGUAAGAUGACUUAUGUUUGUCUGAUACAUUGUCAAGAAAUAAAAAAAAAGUAAUAAUUUUAAUAAUUUAAUAACAAAAAAAAACCAACAAUAUAUGAGGGUCUGGAAUGGGGGGUCUGUGUUCUGUAAACAUUUAAUUUUCACCCCUUUUUUCUCUAAUCUUCAAAAAAUUAACCUCUUUUUUCUCUAAUCUUCAAAAAAUUUGACCACGCAUUUCUCAAAUUUUCAUUUUUUUUUGCCCGUUAUUCCCUUAUCUUCAUUUUUUAAGGGCAUUAUAUUCUCUAAUAAUUUAACCCCAUCCAAACCCUCAUAUAUUAUAUAGAUCAAUAUCACAAGAAGUACUAGAAUGUUUGGAGACAUCAUUAAGGCCACCGUGGUCAACUUUAAAUCUCUGUUGCAAACUUUACAAAAGGCAUGUGACAAUCCUAACGUUGAUUUAGACAACCAGCCCCUGUACUUGACAUCAAUAUUUCCCAUUUCUCUAUUAAAGUAUUUGCACGAAGCAACACGCUUUUUUUUCUUAGGCGGUGACAGAACUAUUUUGCAAGUGAUAACUCGCCCAUCAUGAUUCCAAUCUUUAUAAAUUUAACACCAAGCUAAAAAAAAACUCAAAUUUCGAUUCUUUGAUGUUUACUAUGCGACAUUAAUCAACUGGUGAAUGCGUGAUCACUAAAUUUUGAUUGGAUGAAAUUUGUCAGACACGAUUUGUCUCCCUUGGGAAAACUUUCAAAAGUUCAAAAUCGGGAACAAAAAUAUUUUGCAGAGCCCAUAAUAUAAAUAAACUUUAUGACACAAUACGAAAUCCAACAACAAACCGUAUAGUCCAAUAAAAAGGGCCGAUAUGACAAAAGUGACAUAAUUUAAACGAAAAACAAAAGACUGACAACAACUGAUUAUAUUUACAAGCACUGAAUUACGGGCUCCUGACUUGGGAAAAGCGCAUUUAUAUCCUACCGUAGUCUAAAAUCGUUCAUCUUGUCAGUUCGUUAGGUAUUGUGUUUGAACUUAACACACGGGGAAACUCCGCAUUGACGUCACUACGCUACUUCCGGCGUAGAAAAACAAGUAGAUACGUUUUUUCUGCACUUUUGAAUAAAAAAAACAUUUCUGAAGGUAAGUUUUCAUUGUUGUUCUCAAUUAUUGAUAAAAAAUGCCAAAUUUCUAAUGCCCGUUUCAAUCCCGACCUCCGAAUGUCUAAAAACAUUCUAGAAUUCACAAAAUCCCAUUCCGGCCUCCAUUGCUUUGUGUACAUUCCAUCAGCGUCAUCAAUUUGUGGCAGGAUACAGGUCAAGCAAAUCUUAUUUUUUGGAAUUUAAAAUGACAUGCUCCUUACGUUUUUCGCGAUUUUCCCGCGAAAAAAAGCCCAACCAAAAUGAAAGGAAACUAAUUGAAAAAACUAUGCCCAUGCCAAAUUUGUACAGGAGUAUAGAUAGGUUAAUGAAAAAUAAUUUACAUUUAAUUUUUCAUAGAAUUUUCUUUUUAUUCAUUAUAAAAGAUCGAUAUUCUGACCAUCAUGACUGUAGAUAAAUAUUCAUACAGAAUUCCAUUGAUGUCAAAAAGGGAUGGCAAAAAAAGAGUUCCUGUUGAAUAAAACCCAAAUUUAUUGCAAACUAUUUUGGAGCAAUAUCCCACAAAGAAAUAGCGUAAUUGCCGUAGACUGGAAAAUCCCCUAAUUGACAGUAGAGCAAUUUGAUUGGGUAGAACGAAAUGACAUCACGUGAUUUUGACGCCAUUGAAAUUUAAAUGUAAACAAACAAGGUCAGAAGGUUCAGUAUGGGACAGCAUCGUACAUUUAGUUCUGACAAAUAAUUAUGAGUUCCAAGCUUGACAAUGCAUGGUGAUAAAAAUGAAAGCUAAGUGUACAGAAAAAAUAAGAAAAAAAUAGCCUUAGGAUAACGACUUAUCAUUACACCUGGAUAUGUGACAUAUGUGGUGGGAUAAACAUGUCUGUAGCGGUCAGCCUAAGAUAGUGGUGUAGCAGCACACCAUUAGAACGAAUUGUAAACAUUCGUUGGAUAUGGUUUGACUAAUGAAAUUGACAUUAAGUGUUUUUUUGUAAAAAUCUUAAUUUGAGUUUUUCUCGAGUUGAUCAAAUGUAACAUAUUCUUUUGCGUUGCGAUGACAUAAUGUUAUGUGUUUUUGUUUACGUGAAAAUCAUUUUGUAAAUGCAAAUGCUAAUCUAGGUGCAUAUAAUUUUAUACUUAUAUUAUGUAUUUAAUACCGUUUGAUCGUUUCAUGGCAAAUGAGAUCCUGUUAUUUACUUGAAUUAAAAAAAUAUAAUCCUGAAAAAGGAAUGUGUCAAAUUUGUCCUAACAUCUUUUGUUAUAGGAGCUUAAAUUCAGCCGGCAAUAAUAAAGUCAGUACAGGAUGUUUCAGUUAUAUUGAACGAGUAAAUGUAAUAAUAUUACUUUUUAACGAAAAUCCAAAUCAUAAAAUAAGUAUUACGAAGUACAACACAAGUUGCGCUUUUUAAAAUUAAUGUGACAUUGCCCCAUCAUGGUAGCAAGCUAUGUCGAAAAGUAGAACGAAAUCGAUGAAUAGUCAAGUCAUUAUGUACCAUUUAAUCAGAAUUAUUGCAUACAUAUAAGAUAUUUAAGUUUUGCUGUAAUUAAUCUCUUUUCAAAGAAUAGUGGAAAUCAUAUAUGCCGAGCGGAGCGAGGCUAAAAAGAUUUGAAGGGUUUUGGAGCCGCUGAAGGCCACAAGAAACUAUAGAACUAAUGAUGUAAAAUCUUGCUCUUUAGGUGUUUCCCAGACCCUUUCUUAAUAUGAAAAUGAAAGUUCUGUUUUAAUAUUUUUUUGAUCUCAAAGCAACAUGUACAUGUAUGUAGAUUCAGUGUAAGACUUGCGCUUUUUAGGGACAACAUCAAAAGACCAAUAUGUAGGAUAAAGCAAAACUUUCUGCGUUUUUUUUUUAAAACUCAUGAUCAAGUUAAUAAGAAAAUUACUUAAUUACAAAAGGAAUGCAACACUAACAGAAUACAGAAGGGCAAUCAAUAACAAAAGACAAAUAAAAAAGUAACAUUGAUCCCGAAAAAAACAGGAGAUAUGUCUGAGAGAGUAAUUUAUGGUAACGAAAUCCGUAUCUUGAUAAUUUACCAGUGAUGCAUUGAUUACGUUCGUUAAAAUCUAUGACAUCACUACACACACACGCAUACCGAACGAGUUGGGAUAUAUAAACACCGUAUGAUGGAACCAAAGGUACACACAUGUUUAUCCCCGCCACAUUUGUUAUGUCCCUGUCCCAAGUUAAGACCCUGUAGUUAUGUUAUUUUCGUAGGUUUAUGUCUGUCAUAUUUGUUUUUCGUAAAUUGUUAAGUUAUCAAUAAGUUGGUGUACUGGUUUCAAUUGUUUCAUAAUUUUCAUGUCGCACCUUUAAUAUCGGACUGUAUGGUAUGGAUUUUUCUGAUUGUUGAAGUCCAUAUGGUUGCCUACUGUUAUAAUUGCAUAUCCACUUAGUUUGAACUUUGGUGGAUUGUUGUCUCAUUUAACUUAAUACUACAGCUCCUUAUUUUUAUAAUAUUUAUCAUCAAUCCGUUAUUAAAAUAAGGGGAAUCGACCAUUACCAAGAAUUAUUUAUGAUCAUGUUUUUCAUCCGACUGAAAGAUAUGAAAAAUUGAAGAAUGAUGCAAAUGUCAUUUAUUGGAUGAGUUGCCAGGUCUUGUUAAAAUUGAUAACCAGUUCAGAAGUUUAAUAAAAAAAUAAAAUGUCCACUUUGGUUCGAAAUGAAACAGCAUUUGAGAUGCUUGCUGGUCGACUGAUAUGUACAAAUAUAUAGAGAGGCAAAAAUCUCAAAUGCUGUUUGUCGGUAACUUCGACAUAUAUUACAAGUAAAACAAUUAAAAUAAACGUUUAAUGAAAAAUUAAUAAAAAUUAAACUACAUGGGGGUCAUUCGGUAUACUCCCACUCAGGGGCACCCAAAGGGUACCCUGUCCACAAGUACCUGUGGUAGGAUGAAGAGAUCUUACUUCGGUUCGUUUACAUCUAAAUUGACCAACAACUGACCUACAAUUGGAGUCAUUGCCUUAAAAAACGACAUUUAUUAAAAAAAUAUAUCAUGAGAUUGAAAACAGAAUUAUUUGACAAGAAUUUUUUCAAGGAGUUACGCCCCUUCGAACUUAUUUGUUUCAAUAUACUACUGCAACAGUUUGUCAUCGCAACUCCUCUCAAAUCACACAACAGAAUUUCAUGAAACCUUUUCAUUCUAUGUAUGUAGAUGUGCAUAUCGACAGGAAAUUACGAUUCAAUUUUUUUUCCAGGAGUUACGCUCCUUUGAACUUAUUUGCUUCAAUAUACUACUGCAACAGUUUUUUGUCAUCGCAACUCCUCUCAAACCACACAAGAGAAUUUCAUGAAACCUUUUUAGAUAAUAAGGACAUACAUUGUACUAUGUAGAUGUGCAUAUCGACAGGAAAUUACGAUUCAAUUUUUUUUUCUAGGAGUUACGCUUUUUUGAACCUAUUUGCUUCAAUAUACUACUGCAGCAGUUUGUCAUCGCAACUCCUCUCAUCCCACACAAGAGAAUUUCAUGAAAUUUUUUUAGAUAACAAGGACAUAGUAUUUUGGAGAUGUGCAUAUCGACAGGAAAUUAUGAGUCAAUUUUUUUUCUUUCAGUUAUUUUUUUUUCUCAAGUAACAAUGUGGGGACGUGGGGUAUGUGAGCACGCUAACUAAAAGGUUCUUUACUUGUUUUUUGUUUUCAGUAACAGAACAAACAUGCGGGAAUGACCAGUGUAAAAGUAGGAAAGGAGGCUGUUAUGAUAAUCAAGAGGAGUGGAUGGAGGGGUGUACAAAGAAAAUAUGUAUAGUAGAAGAACAUGGUUGGAGAACAGAAAUAGUCAAGAUACG
RNAcentral lists this long non-coding RNA (6358 nucleotides) under Mytilus galloprovincialis (Mediterranean mussel). Lineage: Eukaryota; Metazoa; Mollusca; Bivalvia; Mytilida; Mytilidae. The record is from RNAcentral.